GACGAACGCUGGCGGCGUGCUUAACACAUGCAAGUCGAACGGAAAGGCCCUGCUUUUGUGGGGUGCUCGAGUGGCGAACGGGUGAGUAACACGUGAGUAACCUGCCCUUGACUUUGGGAUAACUUCAGGAAACUGGGGCUAAUACCGGAUAGGAGCUCCUGCUGCAUGGUGGGGGUUGGAAAGUUUCGGCGGUUGGGGAUGGACUCGCGGCUGAUCAGCUUGUUGGUGGGGUAGUGGCUUACCAAGGCUUCGACGGGUAGCCGGCCUGAGAGGGUGACCGGCCACAUUGGGACUGAGAUACGGCCCAGACUCUUACGGGAGGCAGCAGUGGGGAAUAUUGCACAAUGGGCGGAAGCCUGAUGCAGCAACGCCGCGUGCGGGAUGACGGCCUUCGGGUUGUAAACCGCUUUCGCCUGUGACGAAGCGUGAGUGACGGUAAUGGGUAAAGAAGCACCGGCUAACUACGUG
This 468-nucleotide ribosomal RNA is filed under the name uncultured bacterium. RNAcentral's name for it is "partial 16S ribosomal RNA". It matches the Rfam family "Bacterial small subunit ribosomal RNA", at positions 28 to 507 of the family's 1533-position model. The record is from RNAcentral.